AACGCACACCGCAUUUUCAGAAAACAGUAUUUGACUGCAUUGUAUCUUAACUGCGGCAUGAGGAAUCCAGUUCCCUGACCAGGGAUCAAACCCCUGCUUAGGGCGCAUGGAGACUUAGUCAGUGGAUCAGCAGGGAAGUCUCUGGACACUGCAGUUUACAGAAGAAGAAACCAAGGCUCAGCGCCAGAAGGACGCUCAUCCCUGGUUACAGCGAAGACCUACUGUGCAGAAAACCUUCUCAAGGUGGACACUUAGUGCAAAUGGCGGGCAGCCAAGGUGCGUGAGAAGACCAUCUCUGUGGUGCUCCAGUUCCUCACCUAGCGAUUGAACCUGCCGCCCAGCCCCCUGCUCCGUUGGAGGCGUGGAUUCUCACCCACUGGACCACCACAGAAGUCCUCAACUGCUUGAUUUUGGCCACAUUCAUCCCUCCGAUGUAAGGAUGUUUGGGAAAGGAUGGUCGGGACUAGGCCUACCGGAUUGUGUUAAAUAUAUUA
This is a long non-coding RNA of Dama dama (fallow deer), 494 nucleotides long. RefSeq lists it as uncharacterized. The record is from RefSeq and is a predicted model, not a curated record. Lineage: Eukaryota; Metazoa; Chordata; Mammalia; Artiodactyla; Cervidae. The transcript has 3 exons.